Molecule: long non-coding RNA, 448 nt
Organism: Homo sapiens (human)
Lineage: Eukaryota; Metazoa; Chordata; Mammalia; Primates; Hominidae
Gene: EOGT-DT
Product: EOGT divergent transcript
Source: Ensembl
CCAUCUCCAUCGCAGCAGCCCGCGCCUCCUUGAGCGAGAGCGUUAAAGCGCUCAGAGGAUGUUAGGACGGGUUUUAGGUGAUGAAGUACCUGCUGCCAGAGUUUCCCCUGAAACACACAAAGAAGAGUCUUUUACUUGUGAUUCAGUUGUUUCAGGAGUUCUUGACUGGCCAAUGUGCAAGGAUUCAUGUAAGCUGCUUUUCACUUCUUCUUCUGGUCGUUGUGAUUUUGCUGGAGGUUUUGAUACCACUGGACUCUUCUGAAUGGUCUGGACAUCAGUUGGCGAGAGAAAGGCACUGAAGAAAUUUUCAGAUUCAUCGACCACAGUCCUCCGAACUGGCUUUGUGAUUGCUUUAGGAGAGGCUAUUGGUGGACUCUGAGGUUCAGUGUUUGAUUUCAACCCCCAGGUUGAAGUAUCCCAUCCUCCACUGACAGGGGAACUUAUUCCU